This is a non-coding RNA of Cucurbita pepo subsp. pepo (vegetable marrow), 1173 nucleotides long. The record is from RefSeq and is a predicted model, not a curated record. Lineage: Eukaryota; Viridiplantae; Streptophyta; Magnoliopsida; Cucurbitales; Cucurbitaceae.
UUCUCAAGCUCUCUGCACCAUUAUUCACAGUCCUUUACCGCCUUUUCAAUCGCUGUUCUUCUCUGUUCAUGCUUCCAUACUCGGCUGGAAACCGGCUUCUCUUCGCGUCGUUGCGACUUUCAAUUUUUUUGCUCUUCUUCGAUCCUUGAGCUGCAUCCGCCGUGUGUAGCGCAGCAAUACGGCGGCCACCAGACUCCGAUCCGCCUUCCGAGAAGGAUCUGUUCGUCUAAUAGGUAGGAAAUUUUGCUCCAUACGUUUUAAAUAUGUCAUAAAUCAUACCGGAAAAGAAAUUAUCGCAUUUGGAGGGUGCGAUUCUGGUGCAUGUGCAGCUACUCUUUGGAAAUUUCCAUCAAGUAUGUGGGCGAAGUUCAAAUACCAAUUGUGAAGAAAUUCGUACACUAAAUCUGAGUAUCCAUUUUAGCUGCAAGUGGAAAGGCAUUUUCCGCAUCCAUCUGUUGUUUUCUUGGAAGAGUAAUGGCUGUUUUUAGGAUUCCACUUCAGUUCCGAGUGUAAGAUGAAAGAAGAGUGUCUUCUAUUCUAGCCCCUUAUACAGCUGCUGGCGAUUUUUGGUCUUUAAAGGGAAUGUUAGUCCAGAUUCUGUUGCGUUAAUUGCUGCUGCUGCUGCUGCUAAAAGAGUUCUGCCAAUGAAAAAUCAUGGAAGAAAGGGACUCAACGCUCACAGUCCAACUCUCUGACCAGGCCUUAAUAACAAUCAACUCACACAGCUCAUGGUGAUGGCUUAGAAGAUGGUUGGGUGGGAGUCUCAUAUUCGCUAACUAAGGUGGAUGAUAUCAUAUCAUUGUGGAGCUUCGUAAUUCCUAACAAGAUGUCGUCCACUCGUUUGCAAUCGGCUAAAAGAGAACCUAUUCGGCUGCAACUGCUACCACUCAUUCACCAGAUUAUCAAGAGCCGUCCACGUGUACAACGACACCAGAAUGGUGGGUCCCUGACUCUGGUGCGUUGCAUCGACGUGUCGUACGGCAGGAGGUCGAAGCUUGCAUUGGCCCUCUGGUGGUGAACCCACAGGUUGACAACUAACCCUAAAGUAUCGAUUUCACUGGCUCAGCCUUUUCCAUGUUUGUCUUCAUCCUUUGAUGCCCAUGUCUACGAUCGAAAUAUUUCUGAAAAAUAAAUUUGCGCAUUUCCCAUUAAAGUUUUAACAUUUUUUUUACU